CCGCCCGGACGCUUCCGGCCGGGCGGCUGCGGCCUAGACCGUGAGGACGGCCUCG
This 55-nucleotide non-coding RNA is filed under the name Rhodococcus rhodnii. Lineage: Bacteria; Bacillati; Actinomycetota; Actinomycetes; Mycobacteriales; Nocardiaceae. The record is from RNAcentral.